AUUGAACGCUGGCGGAAUGCUUUACACAUGCAAGUCGAACGGCAGCACGGACUUCGGUCUGGUGGCGAGUGGCGAACGGGUGAGUAACGUAUCGGAACGUGCCCAGUCGUGGGGGAUAACGUAGUGAAAAUUACGCUAAUACCGCAUACGAUCUACGGAUGAAAGCGGGGGAUCGCAAGACCUCGCGCGAUUGGAGCGGCCGAUAUCAGACUAGGUAGUUGGUGAGGUAAAGGCUCACCAAGCCAACGAUCUGUAGCUGGUCUGAGAGGACGACCAGCCAAACUGGGACUGAGACACGGCCCAGACUCCUACGGGAGGCAGCAGUGGGGAAUUUUGGACAAUGGACGCAAGUCUGAUCCAGCCAUUCCGCGUGCAGGACGAAGGCCUUCGGGUUGUAAACUGCUUUUGUACAGAACGAAAAGGUUUCUAUUAAUACUAGGGGCUCAUGACGGUACUGUAAGAAUAAGCACCGGCUAACUACGUGCCAGCCGCCGCCGUAA
RNAcentral lists this ribosomal RNA (500 nucleotides) under uncultured bacterium. RNAcentral's name for it is "partial 16S ribosomal RNA". It matches the Rfam family "Bacterial small subunit ribosomal RNA", at positions 30 to 523 of the family's 1533-position model. The record is from RNAcentral.